This 439-nucleotide ribosomal RNA is filed under the name uncultured bacterium. Its description in RNAcentral is "partial 16S ribosomal RNA". It matches the Rfam family "Bacterial small subunit ribosomal RNA", at positions 339 to 795 of the family's 1533-position model. The record is from RNAcentral.
CUACGGGAGGCAGCAGUGAGGAAUAUUGCACAAUGGGGGAAACCCUGAUGCAGCAACGCCGCGUGGAGGAUGACGCAUUUCGGUGUGUAAACUCCUUUUAUAUGUCAAGAAAAUGACGGUAGCAUAUGAAUAGGCACCGGCUAACUCCGUGCCAGCAGCCGCGGUAAUACGGAGGGUGCAAGCGUUACUCGGAAUCACUGGGCGUAAAGGACGCGUAGGCUGGUUGGUAAGUCAGGUGUGAAAUCCUACAGCUUAACUGUAGAACUGCACUUGAAACUACCAACCUAGAGUAUGGGAGGGGGAGAUGGAAUUAGUGGUGUAGGGGUAAAAUCCGUAGAUAUCACUAGGAAUACCGAAAGCGAAGGCGAUCUCCUGGAACAUAACUGACGCUAAGGCGUGAAAGCGUGGGGAGCAAACAGGAUUAGAUACCCGUGUAGUC